GUCCCUGUAGUGCAAUGGAUAGCCCGUUGGACUUUCAAUCCAGAGAUCGGGGUUCGAAUCCCAUCAGGGAUG
This is a non-coding RNA of Trichonephila inaurata madagascariensis, 72 nucleotides long. Lineage: Eukaryota; Metazoa; Arthropoda; Arachnida; Araneae; Nephilidae. The record is from the annotation of a GenBank genome assembly.